This 497-nucleotide ribosomal RNA is filed under the name uncultured bacterium. RNAcentral describes it as "partial 16S ribosomal RNA". It matches the Rfam family "Bacterial small subunit ribosomal RNA", at positions 28 to 507 of the family's 1533-position model. The record is from RNAcentral.
GAUGAACGCUGGCGGCGUGCCUAAUACAUGCAAGUCGAGCGAACGGACGAGAUGCUUUCUUCUAUGAUGUUAGCGGCGGACGGGUGAGUAACACGUGGAUAACCUAACUAUCAGACUGGGAUAACAUCGGGAAACCGGAGCUAAUACCGGAUAAUAUUUUGAACUGCAUGGUUCAAAAGUGAAAGACGGUCUUGCUGUCACUUAUAGAUGGAUCCGCGCUGCAUUAGCUAGUUGGUAAGGUAACGGGUUACCAAGGCAACGAUGCAUAGCCGACCUGAGGGGGAGGUCGGCCACACGGGAACUGAGAAUCAGUCCAGACUCCGACGGGAGGAAGCAGUAGGGAAUCUUCCGCGAUGGGGGAGAGCCGAACGGUGCAACGCCGCGUGAGUGAUGAAGGUCUUCGGAUGGUAAAACUCUGUUAUUAGUGGAGAACAUAUGUGUAAGUAACUGUGCACAUCAUGACAGUACCGAAUCAAAAAGCCACGGCUAACUACGUG